UUGAACUGAAGAGUUUGAUCAUGGCUCAGAUUGAACGCUGGCGGCAGGCCUAACAC
This 56-nucleotide ribosomal RNA is filed under the name Pseudomonas syringae pv. actinidiae ICMP 19096. RNAcentral describes it as "partial 16S ribosomal RNA". Lineage: Bacteria; Pseudomonadati; Pseudomonadota; Gammaproteobacteria; Pseudomonadales; Pseudomonadaceae. The record is from RNAcentral.